RNAcentral lists this ribosomal RNA (817 nucleotides) under uncultured bacterium. Its description in RNAcentral is "bacterial SSU rRNA". It matches the Rfam family "Bacterial small subunit ribosomal RNA", at positions 8 to 823 of the family's 1533-position model. The record is from RNAcentral.
AGAGUUUGAUCCUGGCUCAGGAUGAACGCUGGCGGCGUGCUUAACACAUGCAAGUCGAACGAAGCACUUAAGACGGAUUACUUCGGUUUGAAGUCUUAUUUGACUGAGUGGCGGACGGGUGAGUAACGCGUGGGUAACCUGCCUCAUACAGGGGGAUAACAGUUAGAAAUGACUGCUAAUACCGCAUAAGCGCACGGUCUCGCAUGGGACGGUGUGAAAAACUCCGGUGGUAUGAGAUGGACCCGCGUCUGAUUAGCUGGUUGGUGAGGUAAGGGCUCACCAAGGCGACGAUCAGUAGCCGGCCUGAGAGGGUGAACGGCCACAUUGGGACUGAGACACGGCCCAAACUCCUACGGGAGGCAGCAGUGGGGAAUAUUGCACAAUGGGGGAAACCCUGAUGCAGCGACGCCGCGUGAAGGAAGAAGUAUUUCGGUAUGUAAACUUCUAUCAGCAGGGAAGAAAAUGACGGUACCUGACUAAGAAGCCCCGGCUAACUACGUGCCAGCAGCCGCGGUAAUACGUAGGGGGCAAGCGUUAUCCGGAAUUACUGGGUGUAAAGGGAGCGUAGACGGUGAUGCAAGUCAGAAGUGAAAGCCCGGGGCUCAACUCCGGGACUGCUUUUGAAACUGUUGAACUAGAUUGCAGGAGAGGUAAGUGGAAUUCCUAGUGUAGCGGUGAAAUGCGUAGAUAUUAGGAGGAACACCAGUGGCGAAGGCGGCUUACUGGACUGUAAAUGACGCUGAGGCUCGAAAGCGUGGGGAGCAAACAGGAUUAGAUACCCUGGUAGUCCACGCCGUAAACGAAGAAUACUAGGUGU